RNAcentral lists this non-coding RNA (29 nucleotides) under Homo sapiens (human). The record is from RNAcentral. Lineage: Eukaryota; Metazoa; Chordata; Mammalia; Primates; Hominidae.
UAGGGCACGAACUUCUGAAUGGACCCUUU